AGAGUUUGAUCCCGGCUCAGGACGAACGCUGGCGGCGUGCUUAACACAUGCAAGUCGAACGAUGAAGCCUAGCUUGCUAGGUGGAUUAGUGGCGAACGGGUGAGUAAUACGUGAGUAACCUACCUUUAACUCUGGGAUAAGCCUGGGAAACUGGGUCUAAUACCGGAUACGACCAAUCUCCGCAUGGGGUGUUGGUGGAAAGCGUUAUGUAGUGGUUAUAGAUGGGCUCACGGCCUAUCAGCUUGUUGGUGAGGUAACGGCUCACCAAGGCGACGACGGGUAGCCGGCCUGAGAGGGUGACCGGCCACACUGGGACUGAGACACGGCCCAGACUCCUACGGGAGGCAGCAGUGGGGAAUAUUGCACAAUGGGCGCGAGCCUGAUGCAGCGACGCCGCGUGAGGGAUGACGGCCUUCGGGUUGUAAACCUCUGUUAGCAGGGAAGAAGAGAAAUUGACGGUACCUGCAGAGAAAGCGCCGGCUAACUACGUGC
RNAcentral lists this ribosomal RNA (492 nucleotides) under uncultured Rothia sp. Its description in RNAcentral is "bacterial SSU rRNA". It matches the Rfam family "Bacterial small subunit ribosomal RNA", at positions 8 to 508 of the family's 1533-position model. Lineage: Bacteria; Bacillati; Actinomycetota; Actinomycetes; Micrococcales; Micrococcaceae. The record is from RNAcentral.